Molecule: long non-coding RNA, 1166 nt
Organism: Equus caballus (horse)
Lineage: Eukaryota; Metazoa; Chordata; Mammalia; Perissodactyla; Equidae
Source: Ensembl
AGUGUGGCAUGUCAAGCGAUGCUAGGUCUGUGCUGGGGAUCCGAACCUGCAAACCGUGGGCCGCUAAAGCAGUGUGUGAACUUAACCACUGUGCUACAGGGCCAGCCCCUUCUCAGCAUUUUUAAGACAUUGGUCUACUGUCUUCUAGCUAACUCUGUUGUGGUUGAGAAUUCUCAAGCCAUUUUGAGUUCUAAUAUUUUAUUUGUGACUUUUUAUGAUGGUGAGCAUUCCCUGGAAGCUUUAAAUCUUUCUGUUUGUCUCGAGCAUUUCGUGAUGAUGUGCCUUUAAUGUGGAUUUACAGUUGUCCACUGUGCUGAGCUCAGCCCCAGAGAAUCUUGUUUCCACCGAGCCAAAAUCUUAUAAGGUCUAUAAAGGAAGCAGAGAAGGACCUAUUAUUGCAAUUUUGCAAGUGAGGAAAUUGAGGGUCAAAAAAGAUGGCCGUCAAGGAAAGAGCUGGAUGUCACCCCCAGGUCUCCUGGCAACCAGACUCCAGAGCUCUUGUUAUUUUGAGGAAGAGGGAUGAGAUUCAGCUCUCAAGCAUGUUUUCACUCUGAGCGCCCAUUGGCUGAUGCACAGGAAAUUCGGAGAUGCUGUAUUUGUCAAUUGGGUUGGACUUGGCGGACACACUGAGCUCAGAUUCUGUAUCAGGAACUGACAACUGUUUAUCAGUCUUGACUGCUCAGCAGGAACAAAGGCUCAUCCCUCCAGGAACAGUAGCUCUAUGCUGCCAUCUACUGGAAUUCUAGAGAAGAUGCUAGCAUUGCGUGUGUAUUAGAAAAUGCUGUAAAAUGAAAUUUUUUAACAGACAGCUAGAAAAACAGAAGGAAAAAAAAUAGAUGUUUGUAUGCUGUAGAAGUAAGCCUGAGAAUAUUAUUUCAAAAUCAAAGUGGCUGUAAAUAAAAGUAAUGAACUUAUGCUAUACUUUCAUUUUCUUUUCAACAUUUGCUGCACUUGCUGUUAGAAGCUUUGGACUGAAAUCAAAUACCUGCUGUAGGACUGAAUCAGACUGACAUCGAGCAUUAUCUCCCGCAGAGGUGCAAUUUUCUUCUUGGCUAAAACCAAUUUAGAAAUAAGAAAGGCAAUAAGGAAAAUUCUCCCAAGAUUCAGCAAAGAUCAUAGUAAAAGGGAAUUCCUGAGAUAAAAUGGUGUUUGUAAUCCCUCAGAAU